GGGGGGGGGUUGUAAAAGAAGACGUACAUAAUACGUUGAGGGUUCCAAAGAAGGGAGUAGGUGUGGAAGUCUUUGGUGGGAUCGAACCAAAGGUAGAACUGUUGCUCUUUAUCACCUUUGCCUUGUGUAUAUACAUUGGUGUGGACUGUGUAUGGGUCUCCGCUUAGGUUCCCCAAGAACUCGAAGUCGAUUUCAUCCCAUGUCGACCCUUCCGAACGAAGCUGCAAUUGUCACCCCACAUAUCAGCACAGAGUUGUAAAAUAAAUAAGAGACAAGUAUGAUGAUACAACGUACAUAGUAAGUGGUAACAGUGCCAGCAGAGUUGCCUGGGACCAGCUUAAUGUUCAUAUCAAUCUUCCCAAACAGAUAUUGGUUCUUGGAUUGAAAACCAGAGCCGGAGAAUUUGUCGAGGGUGAGAGUGAGAAGGUUUCCGUUUUCGAGAAUCUUGCCCCUGCCAUCACCCCAAGUAACAUCGAUGUCUUGGUUAAAGUUGGCAGCUGAGGCAAGUAUUACAAAGCUGAAUAAAAGAGAGAGAAGCAACGAAGUGGUCAUUAUUUUGGUGGGUUUGUAUUGUAAUUUAGAUUAUGAUGUUUGAAAUGGGGAAGUGAUAGAGGGUGGUUAUAUAGGGGGGAAGGAUUUGGUGAAACAGAGUAGAGAGGGGUUGUUUGGAAGCUUCGUGGUAUGUGUUUCCGUCGGGACAUUGAGUGAAUCGAAGUUGUAAACAGCUGGAACCGUAAAAGAGAAAGAAAGAAGGGGUCCAAAUGUGAUAAUACAUAACUAAUGGCUGUUCCUUGCUUCCAAAAUGCAUGUUUAAUUAAUGGGUUUGGUGCCUUCUUCCUAUGUCUGGUUGGUGCAAGCAGAUAGAUAUGAAUGUCAGGAAUUUAAUCCGAUUUUAAAAUUUGAGCUUUUAAAUAAAAAAUAAAUUAUUUAAGAUAAUAUCAAUGACUGUUAAAAUAAACUUUAAAAAUAUAGGUGUUUUUAUAUCCAAUAGUAAGUUACAUUAUAUUUUUAAAAAGAAGAUCGUGUAUUUGAAUUUUGAAAAUAUUGAAAUGAUCUUAAAAUAAACAUGAUUAAUUUGUUCUACAAUUUGAGUGAACCAAAAGAUUUCAUUAGCUUAAAAUCAACGGUGUUAAUUAAUAUGAGUAAUUGUCAAUGGCAAAACCAGGGGAGGAUAGCAGGGUCUUAGACCCCCUAAAAUAAAAAAAAUUUCGUAUGAUCUUUUGAGUAAAGGUAAAAUUAUAUUUUGGUCAAACUUAGAAAUAUAAAAAUUUAAUUUAAUCUUUUAAAAUUUAUAAAAAUAUAGUCUAUUAAAAUAAUAAAAUUAUAUUUUUUAUCGUAAAAAUUACAAUUUAAUUUUAACUGUUAAAUUUUUUUUAAAAUUUCACCCAUAUUGAUUGACUAAUUUUUGGGACCAACAAAAACUCAUCCACUGGGCUCAUCAUCUCAAACAAAAAUAAUAAUUAAACUAAUUAUAAAAAUGUCUAACCAAGUUCACAUUUUUAACAUUCUUUCAAUGAAAAUUAAAAUGAUUUUUACGCUUCGCGUUAAUUUAAUUAUUUAUUUAUCUCAAAUUUUGGAGUAUAAAUUUGAAUGUUAAAAUAUACUUUAAUCCUCCUAUCAUUUUCAGAAAUUUAAACCCUCUACUCUUGAGGAUAAAUAGACAUAAAUGAUUUGUUUAACUAUUAAGUAGAAAUUAAUCACAAAUAAUUAAAAUAGAAAAAUAAAAUUUAAAAUUUUUAAAAAAUAUAUAUUUGAACAUUAAGUAGCAAAAAAAAAACAAGUAACUUAAAUGUGAAAAUAAAAUUUAAAAAUUAUAAAAAUUAAUUCUUUUCCAAAAUACUAAUUAAAUUGUCUUUAUUAAGUUUUAAUACCUAAAUUACUUCUACUAAUUUUUUUUAUAGUACCUAAGCUACCCCUACUUACUCCUUAUGGCUAUCAAAGGAGAUGGUUUUAUUAUUUAUAGAUAGAUAGAUAACUUUAAAUAAAAGAAUGUUCAUCAAUUAGCUUUUAAAGUAUUGAUAAGUGUUAAAAGUAAUAUAUUUUAACCUCAUUCUUAAUGUGUUUUUGGGUGAUAAUUCGAUGUUAAUUGUGAAUUUUAUACUCUUAAUCCUUUAAAUUCAUGUUUUGAUGCCUAAUAGAGCAAAAGGAGCAAAAAACGAGUAAAAACCGAAAAAUCAAAGCAAGUUAUAGGACCUAUACGGGCAAACCCAUUCCACAUGACCAUGUGACCCACAUGAGCUACCAUACGAGCGUGUGGUAGGUCGUGUCGAUUGCACGGAUUUGCAUUCUGAAUAGCAAAAAAUCACGUUUUUAAAGUGUUUUAGGCAUUCUAAAACGUAUAUUUGACAAAAAUAAAAAGAUAGAAGGGAGCCAUUAUAGAAUUUUCAAGAAAACAACUCGAAAAACACCAUUGAAGCCGAUUCUGAAGUAGAUUUCCGUCAAGAUUGAAGACUCUCAGUUGAUUUCUUAAGAGAUUGUCAUAAGUUUUUUUUAUUUCUUUCGGUUAUACUGUAUCUUGGAUUUUUUUUUUCAAGCAUGAAUUAAUUUUCUAAAUACCUAGGGAGAUGAACCUUAUGAUGGAUUCUUACGUUUGAUUUUUAUUUUACGCAAUAAAUAAUUAUUUUUUAUUCUUAAUUAUCUGUGCUUAAUUUAUUGGUUUAAUAUUUCUAAACUAUUGAUCCAUAUUUGAUGUACUUAAAUCAGAGGUUAAAUAAACCAUAUGUAAGAGUAGAUUUUGCUUAAUUGAGUGGAGUUGCAUGCAAUCCCAAAAAUAUGAUGACAUAAAUCUAUUGGAUUAGAGUCAAAUCUAAUUGGGAAAUCCAUAGCCCGAGUUAAUGCGAUAAUAAGAGUUUUAAUUAAAAAGAACAAUCAAUUAAUCAACCUAGAGUCAGUUGCUCUUAUUCUCGAAAGAGAUAUUAGCAUAAUUAGGGGUUUCCAUGGAUCAUGUCACUAAAUAAAGAAAUUGCGUAAUUUAGAUUGAUAGUGACAGAUGAAAUCUAGGUGAAUUAUUUCAUGAGUAUUGUUUCGCUUCUUAGUUAUUAAUCCUUUAUUUGCUUCUUUUGUUCUUUGCUAUGUUUAUUAGUUAAUUAAAUUUAGUUUUUAAAUCAAUCACUUGAAUUAUUCUGUUAAAUGAUAGAAAAAGAUAAUAAUUAUUAGCACUUUUAAUUUUCAUAGAAACGAUAUCUUUAUUCAUUAUACCUAUACAAUUAACUGAUAAAUAAAUUUACUUUAGCUAGUUCCGUGGACAUAAAGUAAUACCAAUAAUUCGGAAUGAAUGAUAGGAAAUUUGAUUUUUUUUAUUGAAAUUUUAUAAAUAAAAAAUAAUAUUGAGAAAUCCAACUUAAGAAUUCAACACUAAUAUCACAUAAGAGAAAAGACAUAUGAUAUGAUAGGAAAGCAGGUUGAUGACUGGCUUGUGGAUAAUUAUGAAAAGGCAAACAAAAGAGAGAAUAUGAUUACAAAUAAACAGCUGGCUGCCAGAAUCAUUUCAUUGUGAAAAAAAUAUGUUAUAACAUGUUAAAAUAAUAUUAAUUUAUAUUAUAAUUAUAAUUAAUAUAAUAUGAAUGUCAAGCCCUCGAAUAAAUGCCUAUAAAAUAAUGUUGUGGCAUGGCCCCAUGGAGGUCUUGUUUGGAAUGGAUGUAUGUAUCAGUAUAUCCCACCAACUUCAAGUCGGUUGGCACACAAUACACGAACAAAUCAUUCACAAUAUCACAAUAUGGUAAAAUAAUAUAGAUCCCCACUUUUUUUUUACUUGAAAUCGCGAAAUUUUUACCAAGAUAAGUGCUAUUCGAGAACAAUUAAUUGAUUUAGAUUUGUGAAUUCGUAGAGAUUAUUUGGAGGUAGAAUGGAAAAAGUUAGGAGAAGAAUGCUCAUGAGUUAUGAAUGAGAAUAACAAAAAAUUAGAAGAAGAAAGGAUUUUUUUUUGGUUAGGUGCUUGGAAUGGAAUUGGUUAAGCAUUUUAUUCGAACAGAUAUAGAACUGGAAUGAAUGGUUUUAUGUCGUUUGGCUGUUCAGAUCUUACCUGUUAUAGAGAGGUGGUUGUUAUACACCUAUAACAACAUGUUGUUAUAGAGAGAUAAUAAGCUUACCAUAAAAUUUGUAUUGUGAAUUUUUAUUAAAUAAAGAAAAUGAGAAUUAUAUUAAAAAAAGAAAGAAAAUAGGAACCAAAUAAAUAAAAUUAAAAGACAUAUAAUAAGUGUAUGUAUUAUUGUUUUUAUGCAUAUUUUAUUUUACAUUAUUUCACAUGAUUAAUUAUAAAGUCCAUAAAUCUAAUAAGUUCAAUUAAUCAAUGAGUUAUCAAAUUAAAUUAAUUAAUUAAUUAAUUUAUAAUCAUUGUUAACCAAUGAGGUAAACAAGAGGAAGAAGAAGAUGAUUGAACAAGGAAGAAUGAAGUGAAGGUUGGGGAGUGGUUUUAGUUUUGAAGAUAGUUAGGGGAUUGGGAAGGAGUGUGUACGUGAAUCUAUAUGACUUGUUUGCAUGCCCCUUUUAUAGUGGGGAAUAAGCUUGGAUACGUGUCUUGAGGUUACUGACAUGGAAAUUUGAUUUGAUACCCUUGGCAGUGAUAAUGAUACUACGUCCUAGAAUCACGUCCUAAGAUGAGAUGUUAUAGGGUGACUAGCAAUUAAUUACUUUGGUCCUCCACGUGCCCCCACAUAGUCUUAGCGGAGUUGUUCCUUUCUAAAGUUCAUCGAGUUGAUGUUCGUGAACCAACCCUAAGUUCGUAAUGUAGUUGGUUCCAUUGAGAGAUACGCGUUCAGCUCUCUAUGGAUGCACUUUGAGGUUCAUAAAGUACAUUGUAAGGUCUGGGAGGAUCACUAGACAAGGUAUAACAAUCAUGAAUUACUAAAUUCAAGUAAUCAAUUUAUAACUUUAUGAUAUUUCAAAUUCAUAGCAAAAUAUUUAAUUAGGGAGCUUAAUAGUUUAUGGAAUUGAUAUAUUUAAUUUCACUCAGUGAAGAUUAUUUUCAUUUAAUAAAACAUGAUUAAUAAAUUUCUUCAAGUGAAAAUUAAUCAUUUUGUUGAAAUAAUAUUUUGAUUAAGAUAAUUUUCAUUUAAUAAAUGCUAAGUAAUAGGCUUGCUUAUAUGAAAGAGCUAUAAUUUUACUUAAAAUUUAGAUAAUAUGUUGUUAUAGAGAACUAAUUUAAUAAAGAACGUACUUCAUAAUUAUAGAUGUUACAAUUAAUAGUGAAAAAUUAUUAUAGAAAGUUAAAAUAGAAUAUUAAAAAUCGAUUCUUCUAAAAAUUUAACUAUUAUAAUAGAAUGUUGUUAUAACGAGUGAUUGUUAUAGAAAAAAAUAAUGCAUUACCCUAACAAAAUAGAUAAAUUUAAACUCUGACAAUUAUGAAUGAAGCAUAUUAAUUUUAAUUUCUCCUCUUAAUAUCUAAUCUAAGGUUUUGGUUUAACUUGCAUAUUUCAAUGAAUUAAUGAAUUUUGUUUAUCUAUUGUGAAAACUAUAUAUUUAGAAUACAUAUAAUAGAUUAAAAAUAAUGAAAUAUAAAUAUUGAAAUUAAUUAACAAUAACACAUAAAAUAUGUACGAUAUUAAAAUAAAAUUUACAUAUUAAAUUGUGAGUAAAAUAAAAUUUAAAGACAUAAACACAUCAUAUUAAGAGCACUAAAUACACUCCAAUUGCUUAUUAUGGUGUUGUCAUCAAUCUAGAGUUAGUGCUGAAUUCACUUAUGACACCAACUCAAUCAGCAACAUUAUUAAUACUAGAAAUUUUAUCACACAUAAGCGUGUGGAAAUCACAUAUUUAGAAUACAUAUAUGUGUUUAAAAAUAACAUGUAAUAAAUAAUAAAAGAUAUUGUUUGAAACUAAUAAUAAGACACAUGCAAUAUGUACGAAAUUAAAAUGAAAAAAUAUAGUUUAAAUUGUAAUUUUUAAAAAAAGUCAUUUUCCUAUAACAUGUCAAAAAGUUAUUGAAAGAAAAUUCAAUAUUAAAAUUCAAAUUAUGGCACACCCACAAUGUUUGUGAAAAAUUAAAUUACGUAUCAAAUAUAUUUGUAAAAAACUUAUAUAAAUAAUAAAUAAUGUUUUAGUUGAAUGGUAAAAUAUAAAUGAGAAAAAUUAAAGAGACAUGAGUUUAAAUCUUAUUUUAUAUACACAUGAGCGCGCGCACACACACAUAUAUAUUUGCAUUUUUCUAUUUUUAUAUAAAAUAAAUAAAAUGAUAGAAAUGCCUUCAAAAUAAUACAAUUUAUUUCAUAUAGUCAGGGUAUUUUAAUCUUUUUUCAACUGAGUUGGUAUCUAAUUAACCCGUGACACCAACUCAAUAAGGAGCCUUAAGUAUAGAUAUACAAUUGGUGGAGGUAAUAUAGCGUGCAUAAUAAAAUUAAAAUGUAAAAAGAUAAAAUAAAUCUUUAGUUGAGCGGUAAUUUAAGCUUUUAUUAAUACCAUCAACUUGGGUUCAAGUCCCACUGAUUGUAUUUAUUAUUCUUUUUAAAUAAAAAGAUAAAAGUACCCUCGAAAAAUAAAAUUUAUUUUUAAGUAUUAAAGAACAUUAUGAUAAUUUUCCUAAUUGAGUCGGUACUUAAUUGACUUAUGGAAUUAACUUAAUCAAGAACUUGAAUAAUAGUAUAGAUAAUGACUUGUUUGUAUAUACAUGUUCAAUUUUGUAUGUUGAAAAAAACCUUGUUAUUGAAGAUGUAUUUAUAUUUCCUCAGCAAAAUUGAAAAUAGAGAAAAAUAUAAAGAGAAACGAUUUUUUAUUGUUUUUAUUUGUGUGCUUGAUAAAAUAUACGAAAAAUUGAAAGUAAAAGUAAUUUUUUUUUUAUUGAUUGUUUAGUAGAGUUAAAAAAUGAAUUCAUUAAAAAUGGCUUCUGUCAUAAUUUGCUUCCGAACUAUAAGUACUUAAAUAAAUUUUUUUGUCCCAUUUUGAUACCUCAUUCAUUAUAAUUUUCGGUCCAAAAUAUUAAUGGUAUUAAAAAAAUUGUCAAACCAACCAAUGCGCUACAUGUUUGACAUUUUCACGUGUCAUUAAUUAUGUGACCAAUUAUCGAUGAUGUGGUCGUUAAUCAUUGAUCGUAUCGAACAACUGUUUGCUAGACAUUGGUUGGCAUGUAAAAGAAGGUCACAUAUACCAUUAAUUUUUUGGACCAAAAUUUAUAACAAAACAAUAGUUUAGGUAUUAAAAUAGGGAAAAAUGUUUACGCAAUAAAAUAAGAAAAGCAGAAUAGUGACUCGUGACCUAAACUUAAAAAAAAAUGCAUAAUUUUGAUAUAACAUACAUUUCUCUUAUCAUCCCAAUUUAUCAUAAUUUAUUUUUAUGCACUAAAAUGUAAAAUUAUUAUCCCUUCUUAUAUUUGAUCAAGUACGCCCUAUUUUUACUUCUUCACUUUUAUCUUACUUUUUAUUACAACACCAAUUUUAAAAAUAAAUAGAGUUGAAACAACAUUUUAAAAAAUAAUAAGAAACAUGACUAGGUUUACACAUUCAACCUCGUUUAUUUAUUGCCUUUUGACACAGUAAAUUUCCAGAGCAAGGGAAGACAUAAUCGUAGGAUAAAAGUUGCAAAGUUUGGCAUUCUGAUCUCAAUUUUUUAAAAUAAUAACAUGAAUAAACUAAUGAUAGAUUGAUUUAUUUAUUCUCUUUUUAAUUUUUUAUUUAAUCUGUUUUUUUUCACCAAUUUGUAUUAAUUUAAGAAUUUUGAUUUGUCUUAAAAUUAAAAGUGAUAAGUAUCGAAUUGAAUAUAUGUGAAAAUAUGAUGUAGUAUUAUAAAUGUGAAAUUGAAUUAAUAUCAUUAUGUGUAAUGCUAUUAUAUUGGAGAAUUGAUUAUUGGUUGAUGAAAUUAUGUAAUGAAAUUGAGAAAUUGUUACCCUAUUAACUGUUCGGGUAGAGUCGGAUAUAGUUGGCAUGCCAUAGGAUAGGAAGAGUUCAGGGUUACUUCGGUUGUACCGAUGAGGCACUGAGUGUCAAACACAUUGAUGAGCGUUGGGCUCAAACUAUUUACUUCGACAUUGUCCGAUGAGGCACUGGGUGUCAAACUGGUUUGAUUGGUUAGAUCCGUAUAUAUGUCCGAGUCCGAUUUAGAUUAAUAGGGGUAUAAAAUAAAUUUUGAUAAAUGAUAUUUGAAUUGGGUUAAUAUUAUGUUUUGAUGAUUUGUAUACAUAUUGUGAUUAACGGAUAUCGAUGACACGUAAAAAAUCAUACGAACCAGUUAUGUGCCUGAUGGGCCGAUAUAAAAAUGUGAUGAAUCAAUAAGUUCAAUUCAGAAUUUAAAUAAGGAAAUGAAAUAGUAAUUGUCAUUAAACUUAAAUUGGAUAUAUAACUGAUAAAUAGAUGGAAUGACAUAAUAUUAUAAGAAUGAUGUUCAUAUGGUUAAAUGUUGAAUUGAUUUUGAGAAUGGUAUUGAAAUGUGAUUUUAGGUGAGGUUUAUUUCAUAUUGAAAUGUUAUAUGAUGAGUUUAAAUGUUAACUCAGCUUGUUGAUUUAUGAUUGUCAUGUUUAGGUAAAAUUGUCAAGUUGAAUAACUUGUUGUGUUAAAUCGUAAAAUAAGGUAAGAUGUUUAAAUACCAGUGAACUUACUAAGCAUUUGUAAUGUUUACCUUCCACUUGUUUCCUUUUCCCUGUAAAUUGCCAACUUAAGGAACGUGUCAAGUGGAUCUUUGAGAAACUCACAUUAUCAUGUUGUUGAUUCGGUAUCUUUUAAUCAUUUAAAGUUCAAUUUUGUGGCAUGUAUAUAGGUAAUUUGUUUUGAUCAAUCUUGAAUGUUGGCACUUUGGUUCUUGAAUGUGAUUGGUAUUUUGAAUGGUUAUAUGUUAUAUACAUAGGUGUAAAGGUUGGUAAUGUGAUGCUCGAGUAUAGGCAUAAUAUGUAUAGAUAUGUUAUCUGGGAGUGAUAGUGUUUUUGGAACCUUAAAUAAUGUUAAACUUAAUUGGCAAAUAGGUUGUGUACUAAAAUGUGCACUUUGACAUUUUUGUCAAGUUAUGGUAGAAGCUUAAAUGGCAUUUAUUGAGGUUGAAAUGUUAAGAUGUUUGGCGUGCCUUAUUGAAUGAUUGAUGAAUACAUAUGCUAUUAAGCUUACCAAAGUGUUCAUUACAUGUGAAAUAACUUGUACGGUUUUGUAGUUAACAAAAUGGAUGAAUUAGGAUGUGUUUAGAAUAAUUUUAUGCAGGUUUGUAUUGGCCAAAUGUACACCAUUUUAGCCUUUAAUUUGUUUUGAUUAUAUUUAUUCUUUUUACUAUAAUGUUUAAAAUUAUUCAUAAUCUCUUUCGAACUCAUAAAUAAAAAAAUACACUAUUUUCAAUCUAACUAUCGUCAAUCUAAGACGAAUUUCAUAGUUUGUCGUUUUAGUAUCUUACGUAAAGAGAACGAAAGAAAAGUUCAACAACCGGAACUUAGACCUGGCAGUCUACACGUCUUCAUUUAAUAUUCGAAAUAGAAUAUUAUUAUUGAGCUUAUAUUACAUGUUACAAUAUAUGUAGAAUGAAACAAAAGAAUACUAUUGAGGAAAUUAAUUAAAUUAAAAUCCCUGUUAAGGAGCAGUGCAUUCUUUAGGAAGUCCCUGAGGGAAUCGCUUGGUGUCAGUGCAGUAAUUGUAAAUCAUGUAAUUUUUCUGAACCCAUUUCAGCCUUUCUUGGCUCGUUAUAUCCAGUUCUUGCGAUAGCCAUGAAUUUUGAGAGGGCGAGGUGGAGGAACAUGAUGAUUUCCCGGAAGACCACACACAUGUAUCAGCCUUGUAAUUCCUGUAAGCAGCGGUGAAAGGAGCUUGGCUCCAAUCUGUCUUAACAAGACCACCUCGAGUGGCCCAAUCAUCGGCGUUCCAAAGACUCGAAUACACUCUCAUCGGCUGGCUCUUUGGGAACGCAACGCCCUUCGAUUCCAAGUUCUUGAACUCUCUGAGCGGAGUCCCAUCAACAGAGAAGCUGUGAACAUUCAAAAGAAUCACAGUGAAACAUAAUGAAAAUAAUCGAAACUGUAAAAUUGAAUGGGGGGGGGGUUGUAAAAGAAGACGUACAUAAUACGUUGAGGGUUCCAAAGAAGGGAGUAGGUGUGGAAGUCUUUGGUGGGAUCGAACCAAAGGUAGAACUGUUGCUCUUUGUCACCUUUGCCUUGUGUAUAUACAUUGGUGUGGACUAUGUAUGGGUCUCCGCUUAGGUUCCCCAAGAACUCGAAGUCGAUUUCAUCCCAUGUCGACCCUUCCGAACGAAGCUGCAAUUGUCACCCCACAUAUCAGCACAGAGUUGUAAAAUAAAUAAGAGACAAGUAUGAUGAUACAACUUACAUAGUAAGUGGUAACAGUGCCAGCAGAGUUGCUUGGGACCAGCUUAAUGUUCAUAUCAAUCUUCCCAAACAGAUAUUGGUUCUUGGAUUGAAAACCAGAGCCGGAGAAUUUGUCGAGGGUGAGAGUGAGAAGGUUUCCGUUUUCGAGAAUCUUGCCCCUCCCAUCUCCCCAAGUAACGUCGAUGUCUUGGUUAAAGUUGGCGGCUGAAGCAACCAUUACAAAGCUGAUUAAGGCAGAUAGUAGCAGCAAUGAAGUCCUCAUUUUUUUUGGUAGGUUUGUAUUAUGAUGUUAGGAAAUGGGGGAGUGAUAGAGGGUGGUUAUAUAGGGGAGGUGGAUUUGGUGAGAAAGAUGAAGAGAGAAGCUUCGUGGUAUGUGUUACCGUCGGGACAUUGAGUGAAUCAAAGUUGUAAACAGCUGGAAACAUAAAGAGAAAGAAAGAAAAGAAAAAGGUCCAAAUCAAUAAUACUGAGGGGUGUUGCUUGGAAGUUGGUACCAAUAUGCAUGUAUAAUUUAUGGAUUUGGUGCCGCCUUUCCAUGUCUGGUUACUGUGCAUUUGCAUGUCAGGAAUUGAACCGGCAGUUGAAGCAGUAAAACUUUGAUUCAGAGUUUCAACUUUAAAAUAAUUAAUAUUCAUUAUAUCCAUCAGUGUAAUAAACAUAUCACAAUCAAAACACACUGUAAUACACUCACCAAUCCCAAACGAGGUUGGGGUUUGGAGGCCAGAACCCAACUGUUUAUACGCAGGCUUAUACGUUGUGCAAUUUGAGUGAACCACAAGAUUUCAUUAGCCUAAAACCAGUGGUGUUAAUUAAUGUGAGUCAUUGUCAUAUUGGCUGACUAAUUUUUGGGGACCAAACCAGAACUCAACCACUGGGCUCAUCACGUUAAUCAAAACAACUAUUAAUUAUUAAUUAUUAAUUAAAUCCAUUACAAAAAAUGCCUGACCAUAACUAUUUUCUUUUCAUUUAUUAUCUAGACUGAAAUUUGAAUCCUUAAUUCAAAAAAGUAAAAUCCAUUGGUGAAUUACUUUGUGUUUGAUUAUUUCAAGGAUUUCCGUAAUGAAAAAAAUCUUAACUUUUGAACAAGUCAAUUGUUCUAGAAAUAUCUUAAAAAGUCAAGUAAUAAUAUACAUUCUAAAAAAAACUAAAAUUGAUAAAUCAAUAAUCUAUUAAAUAUUAAAUUUAGGUGUUAUUUGAUAAAUUAAAAAAAAUUAAAUGUUCAAAAAUUAAGUAUUGAGUUUAAGUUAUAAAAUUUGUUUGAUAUAUUACUUAAAAUUAGUUAUGGAAUAUAAUUAGAUUGUUUGAUAAAUAUAGAUUUUAAAUUAUAAAAAAUUAUAUUCUACAUUUUAUCUUUAAUUUUUAAACAUUUCACCUUAUUCUAAACAAAAAUUAAAAUUUCAAACGUAAAAUUUUUAUAAAAAAUAUAACAUUACAAAAAACUAAAAUUAAAAUAAUUGAAAAUAUUUUCAAUUAAGUGAUAAAUAAUUUUUAUCUACUUAUUAUUUUUCACAUUUUUUUAUAAGGAAUUCUAACAUAUUGCCUUAAUUUUCAACUUUUUAUCAAAGAAGGUCUUAGUCAUGAUUUAAUUAAAAUUUAACAUUGUAUUGUGCCCUCUUCUUUUCAUAGAAAAAGCCUAGCUAUUCAACUUUUUCAAAUUAAAUCUUUACUCUGUGGGCAGCGGCGCUGGCCUUCAAGCUUGUUGCUAAUCACAAUUCCUCUUAACAAUUUUUGUAGUUUUAUUUUGUUUUUAAUUUCAAUCUACAUUAUUGUGGUUUUGUCUACAGUUUUGUGGUUUUAUUUUGUCCACAUUUUUUAUGGUUUUUGUUUUGUCCACUUUGUUUUCUUUGAAAAUAGUGGUGGUUUUAUUUUUACAUUUAAUUUUUUAGUCAUGUUCUAACAGGUAUGUGAGAUAUUGUAACACCCCCAACCCGUAUCCGUCGCCGGAACUGGGUUACGGAGUAUUACCGGAUAUAUCGGAUAACUUAUCACUAAUUCACAAAUAAAUAACAUACAUAGCAUACUUUAAUCAAUACAUUACCUAGAUAUUAGAUACAUGCCACAAUAUCAAAAGAAAGGCACAUCACUAAAAUUCACUAAUUCAAAAAUAUUUUUAAAGUCACGCUUAACUUAUAAUUAUUAAUUAAUAAAUUUUUCUAACUUUUUGAUCGAAUUUAGUGAUCUCAAAUCACUGUUCUGACACUACUGAAAAUUGAGCUGUUACAACUCUUCCCCCCUUAAAAAUUUUCGUCCUCGAAAUUUCUCACUGAUACAAGCUAUUAAGUCAAAUCUUUCUUCCACCUUUUUUAUCGAAGUCCAUAAAAUUAAUCAUAACUCAUAUCACUUCCGAACUCAUAUCAAAACUCAUUUUAGAACUUGAUACUAUGACUGAACUUAAUUGAGUAGCUCUGAUGUUCUCCUGUCAUCACUUUCUCACUAGUAGUAUAACUACCGAGAAUUUCCAGUAAUCGUCAAUCAAAACAUAACUGAGAAACCCGUAUUAUUAAACUCUGACUGAUAUUUUUGACGUGGUUGCAUCUGUAACUUUCAACUGAUAUUUGUUUCUUUUUUUUUCCAUGAAAGCGUCAAGUAAUAUCAUUUUACACAACUGCAAUAACUUCAACAACAAGGACAACUUUAACCCAUAAUAAUAUUUCCCGAUUAAAACUGACCUGAUAGAUAUAUUUCUGUAUCAAGUCUUCUAGAAUCUGAUUUUUUCAUUCUGAUUGUCCUUCUAUUUACCCAUGAAUACACAAAAUUUAUUCCCGGUCCUGAGAAUAGACUCAAAUGCAUAAAAACCAGUUGCCUACGGAUUAUCCUUCAUCCUUUAUCCAGCAGAGCCAUCUCUUGCAAUCUAUGAACCUGAACCAUCUUAUCUAAUACCUUCGAACGAAGACCUUGAAAACCCAUCCAGCCAGAAAAAAGCAGAUAAUUUAAACCCAUUGUGAAGACCCAAAAUGUACUGAUUCCAUCAGUGAUUAUAACUCAAUUAACUUUUCAAUGAAUAACCCACUUUGAUUAGAACAACUGAGUCGAUUUUAUCUAUCAGAUAAUAACAUUUCAGAAUAAUCCAUUCUUCUUGUUGUCAAAACAAUCCAGAUAUACCAUAUAUCAUAAUUUUCUCGGAAUAUCAACAGAAAUUUACCACAAACUGCAUUAACUCAAACGAAUUAUGACAUCUCAUUAUUGACUUGCUGACAUAAUUCAGGAUUACCUGAGAAAUAAAAACCAAUGUACAAAUUUGAGCUCAAUCUUCCACCAUCUACUCUUUUUUCGAUGUCAACCCUUUCAUGAAAACUGGAAAAGAAUUAUAUAUAAUAAACCUAUUUCAAUUAUAAUCAUCGAAGCUUUGAACUAUACCGAAGCCACAACCAUCAGAUAGAUUAAAAACUAUAGAGCAAUAAUAGGACUGGCGUUCCAACUGUAUAGAUAGAACAAUACCUCAACAUCAAUAGUGAAUUCCAAAAUAGAUGAAGAAAAUCGAAAGGAGUCCCAUUAACAACCAGUGCAGUAAUACAACUUCUAUAAUAUGAUAUCCAUAUCACCGAGCUACCAUGAUUGAACCAAAAUUAAUAACAGUAAUAAAUAUAACUACCUCCGGCCAAUGAAUAACUUUUAUAGAUGAACCAUGUUUAAUAAAUAAGAUUAGACCAUAAGAAUGAUAAGAAAACCGAGAUAAUAAAAUCCAAGAUGUGAAGCUAUACUGAAUUUUCGAGAAUAAAAACCACAUUGAAUGAUAAAGAGAUCGAUGAUAUCCCAGAGAAAAUUCAGAAGAAGAAUAUCGCUCGUACACACUAAAAAUAGUUGUGAUAAAGACAAUAUAAAUUCCAUAUAUGUAAUUCGGAAAAUUCAACCAGUAGAAAUAGAAAAUAACUUCAUAUGAUUCUUAUCAUCAAGUCUUCUAUCAAACAUAAUAGAUUAGAAAACCAAAGAAAGAUAGAACAAUGCCAAUCAUAAAUCAACCAGACUAACAAUACUUCCAGCUAACAUUAUGUUUAACCAAACUUUCUAUAUGAUAAGAAUCACAUCUGAAAAUAAACAGUUGAUGCUUCUUUAUUUGUUCGGGUCGUACUGGUUCAACGUUGUAUGUUCUUGUGUACGUUGAUGAUAUUAUUGUUACAGGUGAUGUGCCUUCUGCUAUAGAGUGGUUUGUUCAAUUGUUAAAUAGUAAGUUCUCGCUUAAGGACAUGGGCGAUCUUCAUUACUUUCUUGGGAUAGAAGUUACUCGUUCUUCAUCAGGCUGUCUUCAUCUAUGUCAGAAGAAGUAUAUACGUGAUAUUCUUAUUCGGUGUUCGAUGGAAAAUGCGAAGAGUGUUAAUACACCGAUGAUUAGUUCCUCUAUCAUGACUAGAGAUGGUGGUGAGCGUUUAGAGGAUCCGACUGAAUACAGGAGCCUUGCUGGAGCAUUACAGUAUGUCACUCUUACGCGGCCUGAUGUUGCAUACGCUGUAAAUCGAAUAUGUCAGUUUAUGCAUUGUCCCACUUCUGUUCAUAUGACUGCUCUAAAGCGUAUUUUGAGGUAUCUAGGUGGAACGAUUGAAUUUGGGAUUGUGUUUCGUCCGUCCACUAGUUUGUCAUUAGUUGGGUAUGCUGAUGCAAACUGGGGGUUAGAUUUUGAUGACUGGAGGUCUACUACUGGGUACUAUGUUUAUUUCGGAUGUAAUCCUGUGUCGUGGUGUACGAAGAAACAGCAGGUUGUUGCUCGGUCUACUGCUGAGGCAGAAUACCAGAGUCUUGCCGCGGUCACUAGUGAGGUUACAUGGCUUUUGUCGUUACUUCAAGAAUUACAUGUUCAGUCUACUAGUAUUCCCAAUAUUUGGUGUGACAGUUCUGGUGCGGUUGCAGUUGCUACUAAUCCUGUUGUUCAUUCAAAGUUUAAGCAUGUUGAAUUAGAUUUAUUUUUCGUUCGUGAAAAGGUUGCUGAUGGUACUGUUGCCGUUGGUGAGGUUCCGGCGUGUGAUCAAGUUGCUGAUGUUCUCACUAAGCCACUUUCGCUAUCGAUUUUUGCUCGUUUUCGAAAUUUCCUACGGGUCUUGCCUGUGGAGAAGAUGGAUGAAUAUUAGAGUAUAGAGAGUUGUUAGUUAGUUGUGAAUAUGGUAGAAGGUUGUUGCUUAGUAUGGAGCAGUUACUCAUGUCUAUAAAUACUGUACAUCUGUAUUCAGAGAGCAAGGAUUUUUGAAUAAACAAACAAAGAAGUUUAUUCUUCAUUUUCUAUUUUGUUCUCUGUUUGGCUAGAUAUUUCUUUCUAUUUUAUCUAGCUCUUUCAUUCUCGAAAGGCUAGGCUAGUAACACUUUUACUCUACGAAAGAAAAACUGAGCCACCACAAACCAAGGCAUCCCCCCCCCCCCCCCACAAAAAAAAAUUGUAACUAAACAUCUUGUGAAAAUUCUUAAAAAAAUUAUAAAAAAUUAAAAAUUUUAAAUUUUAUACUGCAGUUUUUUAAUGAUUUUUACAAUUUUUAGUUAACGAUUAUUUUACAGUUUUUUUAAGAAUUGAGUAUUUUGUUACAAAAUUGUGUUUUUUCUCUAGGAAUUUGAGUAUUGGCAAAAUUAGGCAAAAAUGCCACUUUUAAUAAAAAAAAUUAGGAAAUCAAGAUCAAAUUGAUAAAAUAUGUAAGUAUUGAGGACUAAAUAUAUUAUUAUACCAGUUAGAAAAAGACUUUUGAUUAUCAAUUUAACGACAAGUAAUCAAAAUAAAAAUAAAUUCAAACAUUAAUACCUAAAUUAAAAAAUUUUAAAUUAAGUAACCAAAAUAAAAAAUGCGAGCAUAAUUAAGUAAAUUAUCAAUUUAUCCGAAUUUAUAUUAUAUUUAUUAUUAAUAUAUCAAAAUUUAUAUGAAUGUUAUAUUAUUUUAAAUCAUUUUGAGCUUCUAGUCAGCUACUAAAUGCGAAUAUAUAAUGUUGUGGCAUGGCCCAUCGAGGUCUUGCUUCGAAUGGAUGUAUGUUGAUAUAUGUCUCUCACCAACUUCAAAGUCGGCUGGCACACCAAACACGAACAAAUCAUUGGCAAAAUAUCACAAUAUAUAUCCCGAGGUGUCACAUGCGAUUUUUCUAUAGGUUUUCUUUAAGUAAGUUGACCAUAGGUCUACGGUAGCAACUGGAUACAUUUUCAAUCAGAAAAUAUUAAUAUAUACAUAUUUUAUAUAUGAAUAUGAUAAAAUAUCAGAUUAAUUUAAAAAUUUACAUAUAUAACAAUUACAAUUAUAUCAAUAAUUGUAUUGUUAAAAUAUUAUUUGUAUAAAAAAUUAUAAUAUGAUUUUAAUUUUAGAUGGAUAAAAACAGAUUUCGUAGUUGAUUAUUGAGCUUAUAUUAUUAAUUACACCUAUAUAUUUCCCUGGUUAGAUGUUUUGACUUCAAUCAGAGAAACAUUAAAGUAGUAUAAUUUCCGAAACUGAAUAGUAUUAUUUAUUGAGCUUAGUUUUACAUGUUACAAAACAUUGACUGAAACAAAAGAAUACUGUGAGGCUGCUUUUGAACAAAGUAUCUGUCCUUCGGCAUGACUAGCGAUGGGAAUCUUAAUCAACAAAUUAAGAAGCGGUGCACUCUUUAGGAAGUCCCAUAGGAAAUCGCUUGGUGUCGGUGCAGUAAUUGUAAAUCAUAUAAUUUUUCUGAACCCAUUUGAGCCUUUGUUGGCUCGCUAUAUCCAGUUCUUGCGAUAGCCAUGAAUUUUGGGAGGGUGAUGAGGUGUAGGAACAUGAUGAUUUACCGGAAGACCAGACACAUGCAUCAGCUUUGAAAGUCCUGUAAGAAGCAGUGAAAGGAGCUAGGCUCCAAUCCGUCUUAACAAGACCACCUCGAGUGGCCCAAUCAUCGGCGUUCCAAAGACUCGAAUACACUCUCAUCGGCUGGCUCUUUGGGAACGCAACGCCCUUUGAUUCCAAGUUCUUGAACUCUCUAAUUGGUGUCCCAUCAACAGAGAAGCUGUAAACAUUCAAAAGAAUCACAAUUAAACAUACUGAAAAUAAUCGAAACUGAAACGUUUUUAGAAAAAUGGGAUUGUAUAAUAAGACAUACAUAAUACGUUGAGGGAUCCAAAGAAGGGAGUAGGUAUGAAAGUCUUUGGUGGGAUCGAACCAAAGGUAGAACUGUUGCUCUUUGUCACCUUUGCCUUGUGUAUAUACAUUGGUGUGGACUAUGUAUGGGUCUCCGCUUAGGUUCCCCAAGAAUUCGAAGUCGAUUUCAUCCCAUGUCGACCCUUCCGAACGAAGCUGCAAUU
RNAcentral lists this long non-coding RNA (17431 nucleotides) under Gossypium barbadense (sea-island cotton). RNAcentral's name for it is "long non-coding RNA (GBAR_LNC018242)". The record is from RNAcentral. Lineage: Eukaryota; Viridiplantae; Streptophyta; Magnoliopsida; Malvales; Malvaceae.